This 481-nucleotide ribosomal RNA is filed under the name uncultured bacterium. RNAcentral's name for it is "SSU rRNA". It matches the Rfam family "Bacterial small subunit ribosomal RNA", at positions 26 to 518 of the family's 1533-position model. The record is from RNAcentral.
AGGACGAACGCUGGCGGCGUGCUUAACACAUACAAGUCGAACGGUGAACCGGGCUUCGGCCCGGGGAUCAGUGGCGAACGGGUGCGUAACACGUGGGCAACCUGCCCCAGACACUGGGAUAACUCCGGGAAACCGGGGCUAAUACCGGAUACUCCGGUCGAACCUCAUGGUUCGAUCGGGAAAGCUCCGACGGUCUGGGAUGGGCCCGCGGCCUAUCAGCUUGUUGGCGAGGUAACGGCUCACCAAGGCGACGACGGGUAGCUGGUCUGAGAGGACGACCAGCCACACUGGAACUGAGAUACGGUCCAGACUCCUACGGGAGGCAGCAGUGGGGAAUCUUGCACAAUGGGCGAAAGCCUGAUGCAGCGACGCCGCAUGGGGGACGAAUGCCUUCGGGUUGUAAACCCCUUUCGGCAGGGAAGAAGCGCAAGUGACGGUACCUGCAGAAGAAGUCCCGGCUAACGUACGUGCCAGCAGCCGC